This 30-nucleotide non-coding RNA is filed under the name Homo sapiens (human). Lineage: Eukaryota; Metazoa; Chordata; Mammalia; Primates; Hominidae. The record is from RNAcentral.
UGAUUGUCCUUUACACCUAGACUCACGUGU